This 119-nucleotide ribosomal RNA is filed under the name Pteropus alecto (black flying fox). Lineage: Eukaryota; Metazoa; Chordata; Mammalia; Chiroptera; Pteropodidae. The record is from RNAcentral.
GCCCAUGGCCAUGCCACCCUGAACAAGCCCGAUCCCGUCUAAUCUUGGAAGCUAAGCAGGGUGGGGCCUGGUGAGUACUCGGAUGGGAGACCACCUAGGAAGACCAGGUGCUGUAGGCG